GGGGCUGUAGCUCAGUGGUAGAGCGCUUGCAUCACACGUUUGAGGCAUUGGGUUUGAUCCUCAGCACCA
RNAcentral lists this transfer RNA (69 nucleotides) under Marmota monax (woodchuck). It matches the Rfam family "tRNA". From Rfam's summary of the family: Transfer RNA (tRNA) molecules are approximately 80 nucleotides in length. Their secondary structure includes four short double-helical elements and three loops (D, anti-codon, and T loops). The record is from Rfam by way of RNAcentral. Lineage: Eukaryota; Metazoa; Chordata; Mammalia; Rodentia; Sciuridae.